Molecule: unclassified non-coding RNA, 247 nt
Filed under: uncultured fungus
Lineage: Eukaryota; Fungi
Description: sequence contains ITS2
Source: RNAcentral
AACGCACAUUGCGCCCCUUGGUAUUCCAUGGGGCAUGCCUGUUCGAGCGUCAUCUACACCCUCAAGCUCUGCUUGGUGUUGGGCGUCUGUCCCGCCUUCGUGCGCGGACUCGCCCCAAAUUCAUUGGCAGCGGUCUUUGCCUCCUCUCGCGCAGCACAAUUGCGUUGCAGGGGGGCGCGGCCCGCGUCCACGAAGCAACAUUACCGUCUUUGACCUCGGAUCAGGUAGGGAUACCCGCUGAACUUAA